This 2106-nucleotide long non-coding RNA is filed under the name Homo sapiens (human). Its description in RNAcentral is "HSALNT0179739". The record is from RNAcentral. Lineage: Eukaryota; Metazoa; Chordata; Mammalia; Primates; Hominidae.
GAGACUUAUGGUCAGUGCAAGACCCAGAGGUUUUCAUUCCAGCUCCCAUUAUCAAGAGAAGGUGUAAAUAGCCCAUCGUCCUCACCCAUUUCUGUGCUGUGGAAUCCCUGGUUGCAGAGUAUUUCAAAGUAUACUGAUCAUAGGUUGAUAGCGGUAAAGGAUAAAAUUGGGAGUGUACAUGAAAAGGUAAAAUCUGUUCUUCCUACUCAGAUGAUUCAUUGUAGUAAUCAGCAUCGGGUGGAUUCUCAUCACUUGGAGACUCACUCAUGUCUUGCCGGAGCUCUUACAAAGUGUUGCUAAGGCUCAAGACCAAAUGGAAGCUGACAAGUUUGGGACUUCCACCCUCUGCAGCCAUGGCCGGAGCUCUGUGUUGGCCCCUUUCAACCACAGCUGGAGUGGCUGGGACACAGGGCACCAAGUCACUAGGCUGCACAUAGUAUGGGGACCCUGGGCCCAGCCCACAAAACCGUGUUUUCUUCCUGGGCCUCCAGACCUGUGAUGCGAGGGGCUGCUGGGAAGUUCUUUGACAUGGCCUGGAGACAUUUUCCCCAUGGUCUUGGGGAUUAACGUUAGGCUCCUUGCUACUUAUGCAAAUGUCUGCAGCUGGCUUGAAUUUCUCCCAGAAAAUGGGUUUUUGUUUUCUAUCACAUAGUCAGGCUGCAAAUUUUCCAAACUUUUAUGCUCUGCUUCCCUUAUAAAACCAAAUGCCUUUAACAGCACCCAAGUUACCUCUUGAAUACUUUGCUGCUUAGAAAUUUCUUUCUCCAGAUAUUCUAAAUCAUCUGUCUCAAGUUAAAGUUCCAUAAAUCUCUAGGGCAGGGGCAAAAUGCUGCCAGUCUGUUUGCUAAAACAUAAUAAGAGUGACCUUUGCUCCACUUCCCAACAAGUUCCUCAUCACCAUCAGAGACCGCCUCAGCCUGAAUUUUAUUGUCCAUAUCACUAUCAGCAUUUUGGUCAAAGCCAUUCAACAAAUCUCUAGGAGGUUCCCAACUACCCCACAUUUUCCUGUCUUCUUCUGAGCCCUCCAAACUGUUCCAACCUCUGCCUGUUACCCAAUUCCAAAGUUGCUUCCACAUUUUCAGGUAUCUUUUCAGCAACACCCCACUCUACUGGUACCAAUUUACUGUAUUAGUUAAUUUUCAUGCUGCCGAUAAAGACAUACCCGAGACUGGGAAGAAAGGAGGUUUAAUUUGACUUAACUUCCACAUGGCUGGGGAGGUCUCAUAAUCAUGGCAGAAGGUGAAAGGCACUUCUUACGUGGUAGCAGCAAGAGAGCAAAAAUGAGGAAAAAGCAAAAGCAGAAACCCCUAAUAAACCCAUCAGAUCUCCUGAGAUUUAUUCACUAUCAUGAGAAUAGCACAGGAAAAGACCAGCCCCCGUGAUUCAAUUACCUUCCCCUGGGUCCCUCCCACAACACGUGGGAAUUCUGGGAGAUACAAUUCAAGGUGAGAUUUCAGUGGGGACACAGCCAAACCAUAUUACAUGUAUUUGAGAAAUUUUACAUGAUAUGGGAGGCUUCAUAAGGAAAUGUAGAUGCAAUGAAACAGGGAAAUCUGCAUACGUUGUAAGCUAAGUGUGAUGAAGAAAAGGAUAGUUGUAGAGAAACGUGAUUGGACAAAAAGAGAUAUGAUCUAAUGACAAUAAACUGGGGAAAAUUCAGCAAGGCCUGCUUGUCUCCGAUUGUUUUCUGUGUCUCUGUGUCUUCAGAGAUGAGGGCAUUCCUUUCCUCCUGGUAUGAGGAGGACCCCUCUAGAAUGAGAAUUUAUGACCUAUUUUCAGGGAAAAGUCACAUAUGGCUUGCUUCGUGGGAAAAGGGGCAAGGGAAAUCCAGUUUCUAAGGCCUGCCUCAGGAGAGGAUGGGGGGAAGGUCAAAGAGACCUACUCUUCUGUGGUUUUCUCAGUUUCCUUCAGCUUAAAAUCCUCAGCAUGCCAAGGUGCCAUAUUUUGGGAUAGUAGGUUCUAUGUCCUGGCAGUAGCUACUGGUUAUAUGUGGCUAUUGAGCAAUUAGAAUGAGGCUUGCUUGAAUUGAGAUGUGGUAAAGUGUAAAAUACUGGACUUUGAUAUCUUACUAUGAGAAAAAAAGAAUGUAAAAAUACCUCAAGUUAA